RNAcentral lists this transfer RNA (95 nucleotides) under Herbaspirillum frisingense. Its description in RNAcentral is "tRNA-Ala". The record is from RNAcentral. Lineage: Bacteria; Pseudomonadati; Pseudomonadota; Betaproteobacteria; Burkholderiales; Oxalobacteraceae.
CGCCUGCUGGCCGACGGUGAACGCCUGCGCGCCUUGCUGGCGCGGCAGGGCAUGACGACAUCCGGCAGCGCGCUGUUCCAGUGGUGGCCGGAGCC